This 232-nucleotide ribosomal RNA is filed under the name uncultured bacterium. RNAcentral describes it as "partial 16S ribosomal RNA". It matches the Rfam family "Bacterial small subunit ribosomal RNA", at positions 100 to 334 of the family's 1533-position model. The record is from RNAcentral.
CGGGACAGGUGAGUAAUGUCUGGGAAACUGCCCGAUGGAGGGGGAUAACUACUGGAAACGGUAGCUAAUACCGCAUAACGUCGCAAGACCAAAGAGGGGACCUUCGGGCCUCUUGCCAUCGGAUGUGCCCAGAUGGGAUUAGCUAGUAGGUGGGGUAACGGCUCACCUAGGCGACGAUCCCUAGCUGGUCUGAGAGGAUGACCAGCCACACUGGAACUGAGACACGGUCCAG